This 199-nucleotide ribosomal RNA is filed under the name uncultured bacterium. RNAcentral describes it as "partial 16S ribosomal RNA". It matches the Rfam family "Bacterial small subunit ribosomal RNA", at positions 328 to 539 of the family's 1533-position model. The record is from RNAcentral.
ACGCUCGACACCUACGGGAAGGCAGCAGUGGGGAAUAUUGCACAAUGGGGGAAACCCUGAUGCAGCGACGCCGCGUGGAGGAAGAAGGUCUUCGGAUUGUAAACUCCUGUUGUUGGGGAAAAAGAGGAUGGUACCCAACAAGGAAGUGACGGCUAACUACGUGCCAGCAGCCGCGGUAAUCUGAGCGGGCUGGCAAGGC